RNAcentral lists this ribosomal RNA (460 nucleotides) under uncultured bacterium. Its description in RNAcentral is "partial 16S ribosomal RNA". It matches the Rfam family "Bacterial small subunit ribosomal RNA", at positions 338 to 795 of the family's 1533-position model. The record is from RNAcentral.
CCUACGGGAGGCAGCAGUGAGGAAUAUUGGUCAAUGGACGAGAGUCUGAACCAGCCAAGUAGCGUGAAGGAUGACUGCCCUAUGGGUUGUAAACUUCUUUUAUAUGGGAAUAAAAUGUUCCACGUGUGGGAUUUUGUAUGUACCAUAUGAAUAAGGAUCGGCUAACUCCGUGCCAGCAGCCGCGGUAAUACGGAGGAUCCGAGCGUUAUCCGGAUUUAUUGGGUUUAAAGGGAGCGUAGGUGGAUUGUUAAGUCAGUUGUGAAAGUUUGCGGCUAAACCGUAAAAUUGCAGUUGAAACUGGCAGUCUUGAGUACAGUAGAGGUGGGCGGAAUUCGUGGUGUAGCGGUGAAAUGCUUAGAUAUCACGAAGAACUCCGAUUGCGAAGGCAGUUCACUGGACUGCAACUGACACUGAGGCUCGAAAGUGUGGGUAUCAAACAGGAUUAGAUACCCGUGUAGUC